UGGGGAAUUUUGCACAAUGGGGGAAACCCUGAUGCAGCGACGCCGCGUGAUUUAGAAGGCCUUCGGGUUGUAAAAAUCUUUUGUAUGGGAAGAAAAUGACAGUACCAUACGAAUAAGGACCGGCUAAUUACGUGCCAGCAGCCGCGGUAAUACGUAAGGUCCGAGCGUUGUCCGGAAUCAUUGGGCGUAAAGAGCUUGUAGGCGGUUCGUCGCGUCUGGUGUGAAAGCCCAUCGCUUAACGGUGGGUUUGCGCCGGGUACGGGCGGGCUAGAGUGCAGUAGGGGAGACUGGAAUUCCCGGUGUAACGGUGGAAUGUGUAGAUAUCGGGAAGAACACCAAUGGCGAAGGCAGGUCUCUGGGCUGUUACUGACGCUGAGAAGCGAAAGCGUGGGGAGCGAACAGG
Molecule: ribosomal RNA, 403 nt
Filed under: Verrucomicrobiota bacterium
Lineage: Bacteria; Pseudomonadati; Verrucomicrobiota
Description: Verrucomicrobia bacterium partial 16S ribosomal RNA
Rfam family: Bacterial small subunit ribosomal RNA
Source: RNAcentral